GAUGAACGCUGGCGGCGUGCCUAAUACAUGCAAGUAGAACGCUGAAGGAGGAGCUUGCUCUUCUGGAUGAGUUGCGAACGGGUGAGUAACGCGUAGGUAACCUGCCUGGUAGCGGGGGAUAACUAUUGGAAACGAUAGCUAAUACCGCAUAACAACAGUUAUUGCAUGAUAACUGUUUAAAAGGGGCAACUGCUCCACUACCAGAUGGCCCUGCGUUGUAUUAGCUAGUUGGUGAGGUAACGGCUCACCAAGGCGACGAUACAUAGCCGACCUGAGAGGGGGACCGGCCACACUGGGACUGAGACACGGCCCAGACCCCUACGGGAGGCAGCAGUAGGGAAUCUUCGGCAAUGGACGGAAGUCUGACCGCGCAACGCCGCGUGAGUGAAGAAGGUUUUCGGAUCGUAAAGCUCUGUUGUAAGAGAAGAACGAGUGUGAGAGUGGAAAGUUCACACUGUGACGGUACCUUACCAGAAAGGGACGGCUAACUACGUG
Molecule: ribosomal RNA, 495 nt
Filed under: uncultured bacterium
Lineage: Bacteria
Description: partial 16S ribosomal RNA
Rfam family: Bacterial small subunit ribosomal RNA
Source: RNAcentral